CGUUCAACAAGGAAACGUUUUAGUUUUCAGGCCCACACAAACCUAUUCGAAUGCGCCUAAAACACGAAGAAAAAACAUUAAACUAUUUAAAGUUAUAUAUCAAAAAUAAACUUUGAUGUUAAUAUUAUGGAGGAAGCAGCCCAGGAAAUCAAAAGGGCCUAGGGCCUGGGAGAGUCAUAAUUCUGCCCAGCUGGGCCCCUAAGUAUAGCAGGCCUAAGGGCUGUGUCUUGGGAGGAAGGCAGUUUCUGCUUCCCGAGGAUGGAGCUGGAUUUGAGCACUGAUUCUAACAGGCUUCUGCUGCAGGGCUUGCUAAUUGGUGUUGACAGGCUGCUGGUGUUAACUUUAUUGUUGUUUGAGAGAAGUUUUUGUUUGCUUUUGGCAGGCUACACCUGCUCCCUGGCUGUGGGGCUUUGUCAAGGGGUGGAGCCACAAGCUUUCACUCGACCUGAACUCUGCCCUCUGGAGAGUACUUAGGAAUGACCAGACCAUGAAUUUCCAGCACACUUCCUGGCCGAGCUGACCCUGGAGAACAGUGUCUGCCCAGGAUAUGGCAGGCUUUCAUUUUAAUGUGAUGAUGGGUGACAUUUAGCAGGCGACUCGCUCCGUUCACGGCGUUAACUGUCACCGUGCCUCAGGGACAUCGGUGGCUCAGGGACAUCGGCGGCUCGGGACGGGAGAGAGAUGGGCUGAGGAUGCAGGAGGGCGUCGAAGAGGUUCGGGAGCAAAGCGGGCUGAGAACCUAGCACACUGUCCUAGAAAGAGCGGCCGCUCAACUCUUCAUGUUCGCAGAGCGAAAGAUAAAGGGCAGCCUUCCUGUUUACAAGCAGUAUGUACACUUUGGAUAUUUUCCUUCGACAACGGUCUUGUCAGAAGAAGCAUAAGCAUUUCAGUGCACCUAUCUUAAU
Molecule: long non-coding RNA, 905 nt
Organism: Pteropus alecto (black flying fox)
Lineage: Eukaryota; Metazoa; Chordata; Mammalia; Chiroptera; Pteropodidae
Exons: 3
Source: RefSeq, a predicted model, not a curated record